This 490-nucleotide ribosomal RNA is filed under the name Bacillus subtilis. RNAcentral describes it as "bacterial SSU rRNA". It matches the Rfam family "Bacterial small subunit ribosomal RNA", at positions 406 to 881 of the family's 1533-position model. The record is from RNAcentral. Lineage: Bacteria; Bacillati; Bacillota; Bacilli; Caryophanales; Bacillaceae.
UGGUAACGUGCUUUCCUGGAUGCGUGAAAGCUCUGUUGUUAGGGAAGAACAAGUACCGUUCGAAUAGGGCGGUACCUUGACGGUACCUAACCAGAAAGCCACGGCUAACUACGUGCCAGCAGCCGCGGUAAUACGUAGGUGGCAAGCGUUGUCCGGAAUUAUUGGGCGUAAAGGGCUCGCAGGCGGUUUCUUAAGUCUGAUGUGAAAGCCCCCGGCUCAACCGGGGAGGGUCAUUGGAAACUGGGGAACUUGAGUGCAGAAGAGGAGAGUGGAAUUCCACGUGUAGCGGUGAAAUGCGUAGAGAUGUGGAGGAACACCAGUGGCGAAGGCGACUCUCUGGUCUGUAACUGACGCUGAGGAGCGAAAGCGUGGGGAGCGAACAGGAUUAGAUACCCUGGUAGUCCACGCCGUAAACGAUGAGUGCUAAGUGUUAGGGGGUUUCCGCCCCUUAGUGCUGCAGCUAACGCAUUAAGCACUCCCCCUGGGGAGA